GAUAUCCUCGAGGUCAAUAAGUGAAAAUCUAUUUGUAUGACAUGUGACGUUUUCAAGGGGUUUCUUAUCUUGGGUUUGGUUGGGUUUUAGCUUAAGGCCCACAUAAGGGAUUUGAACCCAACGACACCAAUUUGUACGGCAGAUAGACGUGAUUUCCCUGAAUUCAGUGCCGUGUUUUGGACCUGUUGGCCUUGUCCUCUCGAUGUCAAUCAUGGGUCUUCAAUUGUCUUUGCUGGAGGUGUUGUGGGUUCCAAAAGUUUACUGUAGCAUUUUCUCUCUUUCGUUGUCUUUUUCCUUCUAUUUGCAUUUUUUCCCUCUUUUAUCUAUGCUUUUAUGUGUUCCUGUGUUUACCUCUCAAUUUCGCCAUUUGGGUUCUACACCGUUUGUCUUCUUUGAGUUGUUUUAGAUUUCCUAUAUUUUCUUUGUUUAUGACCUUGCUUUGUUAUUAGUUAUAGGUUUUAUUUCUUUUUUAAUUUCUCUAUUUGUUCUUGCGAAAAUUUACCAUAUUUAUUCUUUGCUAUGUACCUAUUUGUUUUAUCAUGUUCUUGAGGUUGUUGUUUUUAUUAAUUUUUUUUGUUAUUGUUUAUGAAUUUAAUUUCUACUUUGACUUUUUCCAUUCUUUUGUGGGGAAAUUGAAUUACUCACAAGUUCCAAAAAUUUACAUAAACCUGUUUUAGGUUAGGUUUGUGCUAUCUGUAAUUCCUAUGCUUUUUACGUACAAAUUUUGGACUUGAAUUUAUUGCUUGACUUACAAGAAAAUGCUAACUUUUUUAUAAACUUCAAACUUCUCUGUCUAUUUGUUGAUGUGAAAAUAUUAUCCUCCAGGGAAAAAUAAAUAUACGAUUGUUCAUAAAAGUUGCUUAUACAUGUACUGAUUGUCCUAUGCUUGUUUCUUUUCCUUAGUACUUAUCCUAAAUUAUUUGUUUGUUUCUAUGAUUCAUGGGUUUCUAUAUUCAUUUGUUUGUCAUUUUUUGUUUCGCAGAGGAUUCUGCUUCAGUUUGUUUGUCAGCACUUAUAACAAUUGUAAAUCAUUUGCUUCAUAGUUUUUCUACGUUAUGUAUCUUGAAUGAGGAGAUUGUUGUUUACAUGUUUUAGGGAUAUUUAGAUUAAACUAUAUAGUUGCUAUAACUUAUUUCUUAGUUCCCUUGCUUGAAAUUAUAAUUUUGAUUGAGGCUGUUAUCACCUUUCAAUACUACAUUGUUUUAAUAUUUUGCUCAAUUCACUUCCAUUGGAAAACCACGAGAUGUUUUUUUUUUUUUUUUUUUGCUCUGUGAAAAACCGUGAGAUAUUAACAUAAACCAACAAAAAUCUACAUCAGUUGUGUUGUAUCUCAAGGUGAUAGCAUUGUUUUUUGGGCUUUAACUACUUGAGGAAAAUUAAAUAACUCAUGGGGUUGUUAUUUACUUUUUUCGGUGCAUCCAUGGAUAAUUACUCUCUUCAAAUUUCUACGCAUAAUUAGUGACAUAAUGGGGAUUUCACAAAUGCGUUAAUUUAUUUAUUUUAUUUACCUUGAGACAAUGUAUGUUCACCAUGUAUUAUGAUGCAAAUGCUUAUAAAGGUGUCAAUAAUUAUUUAUUAGCUAUUUUACAUAAUAUGAUUUGUAAACUUUUAAUCUGAUAUGACACUAUAUUAUGGUGCAUCGAGAGGAUUCUUCUUUUUGAUACAUUAUUUUUUCCUUCUAUUAUGGAAUUAAACAAGUUACAUUCAAACCAUCAGUUUAUGGAUACUUUUUCAAGUUUAAGAGCCUGAUAGUUAGCCCGAUGGAACUAAUGUAAAAGUUUAGUUGUUGUUUAGUUGUGUAAUAUAGUAUUUGUAAUUGUUUGUUGCAGUGGACUUUUCAUCCUUUUGUUUUCUAGAACAAAAGAAUAUACAUUGUUCUUAUGAAGUGUAGGAAUCUUGCUUAUUUAGUUUUAAGCACCAUUCUAUGCUAUUUUUAAUAUUUUGAGGUGCGUACAUCUCUUCUUUAGAAUGAAAAGAACUGAUUUCUAAUAUUAUCCUGCUUUUAUUAGCCUA
This is a long non-coding RNA of Theobroma cacao (cacao), 2013 nucleotides long. RefSeq lists it as uncharacterized. The record is from RefSeq and is a predicted model, not a curated record. NCBI's taxonomy places the organism in Eukaryota, Viridiplantae, Streptophyta, Magnoliopsida, Malvales, Malvaceae.